This 497-nucleotide ribosomal RNA is filed under the name uncultured bacterium. RNAcentral describes it as "partial 16S ribosomal RNA". It matches the Rfam family "Bacterial small subunit ribosomal RNA", at positions 28 to 507 of the family's 1533-position model. The record is from RNAcentral.
GAUGAACGCUGGCGGCGUGCCUAAUACAUGCAAGUCGAGCGAACAGACGAGGAGCUUGCUCCUCUGACGUUAGCGGCGGACGGGUGAGUAACACGUGGAUAACCUACCUAUAAGACUGGGAUAACUUCGGGAAACCGGAGCUAAUACCGGAUAAUAUAUUGAACCGCAUGGUUCAAUAGUGAAAGACGGUUUUGCUGACACUUAUAGAUGGAUCCGCGCCGCAUUAGCUAGUUGGUAAGGUAACGGCUUACCAAGGCAACGAUGCGUAGCCGACCUGAGAGGGUGAUCGGCCACACUGGAACUGAGACACGGUCCAGACUACUACGGGAGGCAGCAGUAGGGAAUCUUCCGCAAUGGGCGAAAGCCUGACGGAGCAACGCCGCGUGAGUGAUGAAGGUCUUCGGAUCGUAAAACUCUGUUAUUAGGGAAGAACAAAUGUGUAAGUAACUAUGCACGUCUUGACGGUACCUAAUCAGAAAGCCACGGCUAACUACGUG